CGUGGGUAACCUGCCCAUCAGAGGGGGAUAACAUCCGGAAACGGAUGCUAAAACCGCAUAGGUCUUCGAACCGCAUGGUUUGAAGAGGAAAAGAGGCGCAGGCUUCUGCUGAUGGAUGGACCCGCGGUGCAUUAGCUAGUUGGUGAGGUAACGGCUCACCAAGGCCGUGAUGCAUAGCCGACCUGAGAGGGUGAUCGGCCACAUUGGGACUGAGACACGGCCCAA
RNAcentral lists this ribosomal RNA (225 nucleotides) under uncultured bacterium. RNAcentral describes it as "partial 16S ribosomal RNA". It matches the Rfam family "Bacterial small subunit ribosomal RNA", at positions 116 to 334 of the family's 1533-position model. The record is from RNAcentral.